This 348-nucleotide ribosomal RNA is filed under the name Triticum aestivum (bread wheat). Its description in RNAcentral is "partial small subunit ribosomal RNA". The record is from RNAcentral. Lineage: Eukaryota; Viridiplantae; Streptophyta; Magnoliopsida; Poales; Poaceae.
AUGGAGUGGGGCGACGAGUGGCUCGCGCCGGACAAGCUGCAGCACGUCCUCGCCUGCCUCCUCAUCGCCCUCGCCGCCGCCGCGCUCGCCGGACGGAGCUCCCGCCCCUUCCUCCGCCGCCGCGCGCUGGCCCUCGGCUGCGCCGCCUCGCUCGCCGUCGGCGCCGCCAAGGAGGCCGCCGACGAGACCCGCCUCUUCGGGUCCUCCGGCGCCUCGCUCAGGGACGCCGCGGCCGACCUCCUCGGCGUCGCCCUCGCCGCGGGCCUCUUCUCCCUCGCCCGCCGCCUCCGCCGUCAACGGCGCCGGGAGAAGGCCGACGAUACGGACGGCAGCAUCUCCAUGGUCUGA